Molecule: unclassified non-coding RNA, 270 nt
Filed under: Melitaea cinxia (Glanville fritillary)
Lineage: Eukaryota; Metazoa; Arthropoda; Insecta; Lepidoptera; Nymphalidae
Description: misc RNA ENSMCXG00005014670.1
Source: RNAcentral
UUGUACAAAUUCAAAUUCAAAUUCAAAAUAUUUUAUUCAGCAUAAAAUUAUUACAAUUUCUUACUGAACGUCAUGAGUCUACUACCAGUUCGGAAAGAAGAAGCCUCUGACCUGAGAAGAACUGGCGGAAGAAACUCAGCGGGACUAAUAUCAUAUUUUUUUUUUUUUUACAGUAAUGUUUUUUUUUUUUUUUUUUUUUUUUUUUUUUUUUUUUUUUUUUUUUUUUUUUUUUUUUUUUUUUACAAAAAUAUAUUAAACGAAUUAAGACAU